Molecule: ribosomal RNA, 253 nt
Filed under: uncultured bacterium
Lineage: Bacteria
Description: partial 16S ribosomal RNA
Rfam family: Bacterial small subunit ribosomal RNA
Source: RNAcentral
UACGAAGGGUGCAAGCGUUACUCGGAAUUACUGGGCGUAAAGCGCACGCAGGCGGUUCGCCAAGUUUGGAGUGACAGUUGUCGGCUCAACCGACAAAGGACUUCAAAAACUGGUGAACUUGAGGACGAGAGAGGAACAUGGAACUCCAGGUGUAGUAGUGAAAUGCGUAGAUAUCCGGAGGAAUACCAAAGGCGAAGGCAGUGUCCUGGCUGGCAACUGACGCUGAGGCGCGAAAGCUAGGGGAGCGAACAGG